GUAGCAUUUGCUCAAAUUGGUAUGAAUAAAACUUUACUUUACUCAGCUUGGACUGUAGCAAGUUCGAAAUUCGAACAUAGCUUUUGCUCCGUCAAUUAUUUGUCAACAUCAUAAUUUUCGGGUAGUAAAAAAUUUUAAGUGGAAUCAAAAAAAUUGUUUUAAUUAUUUCGUGAAGGAAAAAGAUAUUUGACCCAAACUCUAUCGAACUAAUCACUAACAACCGUCAACAACUACACAUACAGUAAGAAAUCAUGCCGUGACAACCGGAGGUUGUAUUUUCUAAUUUAAGUACGAUUUACACGAUACGUCAGGCUUCUGUCAAAGUCAAAGGAACGUCAACAUUAGUUACAUGCAGUUAAAUGGAUGUAUUCACACAACAUCAACGGCACGAAUGUUUCAAGGUACGGAACGUGUAAAUGGUUAAAAGAGAAACGCAUUCAACUUAUCCUAGCGGAACGAUGACGUGACUUUGACGAUGUGUACACAAGACACAGUUGACGGUGCUAGGUGUUGGAUUAAGUCGUGGUAGACACGUUGAUUUAAUGCAUUUAGUACGCUCCAUUCGUUGGGCAGUAAAUGGAAAAGCAGCAUCCCAGACCUAAACCGAAUUGGCUUAAAAGUGCAGUUAAGUAGUGAUGAAAGAUAAGGCACGAUAUAACGGAACAGCAGCAUCGAUUUCAUCACCAAGGACUGUUAUGACACCUACUGGCUAGAGCAUCAAUAGGGAAAAACAACUGGUGCAGGAUAGUCCCAGUAUUUAUCGUGGAAGUGCCCCAUACAAUGCACAUGUAACAACGUUUAGAUUGUUUGUUUUUCUUGCGGUGCAAUACAAUCAUUGAUUAUAUUUAACAUAACGCUAUGUGCAUCCUGGACGAUUACUGGUGGAACCUGUACUGCUGCUAUACGCAUAACUGUCCCAUGUGUAUAGGAAAUCUCAUAGCACAUGGGACAGUUAUGCUUAUAGCGGCUGUGUAACUGGUGCUUCAUUGAAUCUCAAUUGAGCUGCACACAGGCAGCUGUUCUAAAGGACGAUUCAGACGAUACAUCAGUUUCCGUCAACGGAACGUCACCGUUCCGUCAGGAUAAGUUAGAUGCGUUGCUCUUGUGUUCGUUCACACGUACCGUACGUCAAAACGUCCCAUGCCGUUGAUGUUGUGUGUGAAUGCCUUCAUUUAACUGCAUGUAACUAAUCUCGUAUGCAUCGUACGUCAACGCAUCGUUGUUGUCGAAUGUGAGCAACUAGCUGGUCGUGUAAUUAGACACAUCGCUCGUCUAAGGACAGCUUUAAUCUAACGUUUCAUUAAGCACAAGAUAUGUUCUAUUACUCCAUGUUGUAAUGUAGCGUAAGCGUAUAACCAAUGAUUAGCAUUACCGAAAUUGGACGAAUAUACUGGGUGUUACAUCCAUUACAAAUGAGGAUGUUAUUACUAGCAGAACAUAGGUCGAUAAGCACUAUACUUGUGUGUGAGCGUAGGAGGCUCAGAUGUUUGGAUGUACGAAUGAAUUGAAUGAUUUUUUCAUGAUAGCAUAACAGAUUUGGUGGAAAACCAGAUUCUUCUAAAACAAUAACGAUAAAUCAAUAUCCAGUAAAAAAGUAAAUAAGAUUUGAAAAUAUUGAACAAAGAAAACAAGUAUAUGUAAUUAAAUAGUCUUGAAAUCCAAAUAAACAAAAAUAUAUAUAUUUUCGUUAUUGAUGAAUGAAAGAUCCGAGAUCAGAGUUGCAAAAUUCACAAUGGCGGAUUAUAGGAUACAAGUAUAGGGUAAGGAGACUAUUUUCACUCUGUUUCUAUAACACCCUACGCGUUUGAACGCGUUGGUUUGAUCAGCGCCUGCCAUCUUUGCCCAAACCAAUGGCUCAAAUGGUAGUGCGGCACUCGCUUCGAGUUUUCCUUGUAUUCAAGCGCGGGUUUUUCGCCUUUGUUAGAUCAGUUCUCGACAAACAUAUGAUUACGGCCUAAAAGCCAACUGUCAAAAUCCACUUUGAAUGGAAAUUCCGGACAAACCGUUAUUAGCCGAACACAGUUCACAACAGUUUAUGAAAGAGAAAACUUUUCUCUUUCGGUUACUAUAAACUUCUGUGAUUGGCGCGUAACGGUUUGUCCGGAAUUUCCAUUCAAAGUGGAUUUUGACAGUUGGCUUUUAGGCCGUAAUCAUAUGUUUGUCGAGAGUUUUAUUAUUUUGUUGGGUCUUUAGAACGAAGCAAAGAUGUUGAUGCCUAUUUAUAUGUAUUCCAUCGAUUGUAGACCGAGUAAUUGAUUAAGUAGUGCUGUACCUUUCUAAUAGUGUUAAAAUAAGCUCUUACUCUAAUUAAGAGAAAAUAAAACAAAAAUCAGAAUAAGUCAUCAAGACUUGCAUAACUCUGAAGGGGCCCCUUCUGUCUGCAAGCGCCGUUUUAUGCAUAUACAUGCCAUGUCAACUAAAUGUGGCCUGAAUGGGCCAAAUCUACUUUGCAUUUCGAAAAAUGAUAUUGGAAACAUAUUUAUCUGAUUUGAUAUGAUGAGAAAUUGCAUUAAUGUAACCAAGUAACCUCCAAAUAGUUAGGAAGAGUAAACUCACGUCAAAAUAUGGUUAUUAUAUGCAUGGCUUGACAUAGAUGUCUCAAGUACUCAAAGAAAUUCGGGUAGUCCACUUUUAUCUGUUGCACUCUAUCUUAUAUCCAAACUAUCAUUUCAUGACUUGUUACUUUUUUAUAUUAUUCGUAAGCUUAACUGAGCCGUGUUAUAUAUUUCGCCGGCUGGGGUCCACUAGGAGGUUGAUAACAGUCUAUUAUCUUUCUCUGGACAAAUCCACCUAGAGGCCGUGUGGCACCCAGCGGGUUGAAUUUUCUCAACCAAGAAUUGAUCCACUGUGUUUUUGCUCCCAUGUCGUAUGAGGCGACUUAAAACAGGAGCCCUCGGGCUAUUCUCACAGUCACGUCACCUAGUGACUAGAAGAAAAUUUCCUUAUAUUCACUAAGUGACGUGACUGUGAGAAUAGGGCCCCUCAUGUCAAGUUGUUUCCCCGUGCCGAGGACUGAAUGGCUGGGAAGACUAAAAUAUGCCAGUCGCGCACGGAGUGUCGUAAGUCUUAAGCUUACCGUGUUAAGCGAGUCUCUGAUACAGUGGAAGUUUGUUUCUUCGCAAAUCGUGGAGAUCAAAUGGUGGUCAUGUCCCUAAUAUACAUUGCGGGGUUCGCUAUAGACGAUUAUAAGCCACAAACGCUGAUGAUGAAAUGUAUAGUGCUGUGAUCAAGUAUGGUUAGAGCAACACAAAUUAAUCUUUAGCAUAAACGUACAGCAACUAU
Topomyia yanbarensis is the source of this 3282-nucleotide long non-coding RNA. RefSeq lists it as uncharacterized. The transcript is spliced from 3 exons. Lineage: Eukaryota; Metazoa; Arthropoda; Insecta; Diptera; Culicidae. The record is from RefSeq and is a predicted model, not a curated record.